AAUUGCGGGGGCCGGCCNAACCGGUGGAGCAUGGGGUUUUAAUNNAAUNGCAANGCGCAGACCCUNACCUGGGCUUUGAACNUGUAGUGGCCAAUCCUAGAAAUAGGAUNUUCUUCUUCGGAGANUGUACGGNAGGUGNUGCANGGCUGUCGUCAGCUNGUGUNGUGAGAUGUUGGGUUAAGUCCCGCANCGAGCGCAACCCCUAUCCNUUAGUUGCUAACGGGUGAGGCCGAGAACUCUAAGGAGACUGCCCUGGAAAUCGGGGAGGAAGGUGGGGAUGACGUCAAGUCCUCAUGGCCUUUAUGUCCAGGGCUACACACGUGCUACAAUGGAUGGUACAAAGGGUCGCGAAACCGCGAGGUCGAGCUAAUCCCAAAAAGCCAUCCUCAGUUNGGAUUGCAGUCUGCAACUCGACUGCAUGAAGCUGGAAUCGCUAGUAAUCCCGGAUCAGCAUGCCGGGGUGAAUACGUUCCCGGGCCUUGUACACACCGCCCGUCACAUCACGAAAGUUGGCUGUNCCGGAAGUCGGUGGGCUAACCCGCAAGGGANACAGCUGCCCAUGGUAUGGUUGGCGAUUGGGGUGAAGUCGUAACAAGGUAGCCG
Molecule: ribosomal RNA, 603 nt
Filed under: uncultured bacterium
Lineage: Bacteria
Description: partial 16S ribosomal RNA
Rfam family: Bacterial small subunit ribosomal RNA
Source: RNAcentral